RNAcentral lists this transfer RNA (71 nucleotides) under Loxodonta africana (African savanna elephant). It matches the Rfam family "tRNA". From Rfam's summary of the family: Transfer RNA (tRNA) molecules are approximately 80 nucleotides in length. Their secondary structure includes four short double-helical elements and three loops (D, anti-codon, and T loops). Lineage: Eukaryota; Metazoa; Chordata; Mammalia; Proboscidea; Elephantidae. The record is from Rfam by way of RNAcentral.
CCGGUGGUGGUUCAGAGGCAGAACGCUCACCUUCCACGCAGGUGACCCAGGUUCCAUUCCUGGCCGAUGUA